This 489-nucleotide ribosomal RNA is filed under the name uncultured bacterium. RNAcentral describes it as "partial 16S ribosomal RNA". It matches the Rfam family "Bacterial small subunit ribosomal RNA", at positions 28 to 507 of the family's 1533-position model. The record is from RNAcentral.
GACGAACGCUGGCGGCGUGCUUAACACAUGCAAGUCGAACGGAAAGGCCCCCAUCUUGGUGGGGGUGCUCGAGUGGCGAACGGGUGAGUAACACGUGGGUGAUCUGCCCUGUAGUUCGGGAUAAGCUUGGGAAACUGGGUCUAAUACCGGAUAGGACAAUGGUUUAGUGUCUCAUGGUGGAAAGAUUAUUGUUUUGGUGCAGGAUGAGCUAGCGGCCUAUCAGCUUGUUGGUGGGGUGAUGGCCUACGAAGGCGUCGACGGGUAGCCGGACUGAGAGGGUGGACGGCCACAUUGGGACUGAGAUACGGCCCAGUCUGCUACGGGAGGCAGCAGUGGGGAAUCUUGCACAAUGGGCGCAAGCCUGAUGCAGCUACGCCGCGUGGUGGAUGACGGCCUUCGGGUUGUAAACUCCUUUCGUUAGGUACGAAGCCGCACUUUUUUUGGGUGUUGUUACGGUACCUUUGUUAAGAAGCACCGGCUAACUACGUG